Long non-coding RNA from Macadamia integrifolia, 169 nucleotides. RefSeq lists it as uncharacterized. The transcript has 2 exons. The record is from RefSeq and is a predicted model, not a curated record. Lineage: Eukaryota; Viridiplantae; Streptophyta; Magnoliopsida; Proteales; Proteaceae.
UGGCGCUCCGUGUGAUGCCGAAGGAAAGAUUGGGUUGAAUUAAUGCUCUUUUAUUUUAUUUGAUGAUGAUAUAGAUCGAAAGGAUCAUAGGAAGGAAAAGUGGGUUUCUGUUUUGUUCUUCGAUUUGAGACUUUCUCGGAAGGAGAUUAGAGAUGGGUUUCUUCAGUAC